Molecule: unclassified non-coding RNA, 3643 nt
Filed under: Hevea brasiliensis (rubber tree)
Lineage: Eukaryota; Viridiplantae; Streptophyta; Magnoliopsida; Malpighiales; Euphorbiaceae
Source: RNAcentral
UUUUUUUUUUUUUUUUUUUAAAGCCAUAAUAAGAACAAGAGAAGAGAGAGAUGAGAAGGUGAAGAAAUAUGGAAGUGGCAAAAUGGCAAUCUCUGCACCACUCAAGGAUGGACCCAAUAUCUCCUCCAGCCAAUAGCAUCUCUCCCUCCCAUAUCUCUACCCUUUUUGGACUUGUAAGCUUCCAUUUCUCCUUGACUGAAAAAUUUUUAUUAAGACUAUCAUAAAAACUAAAAGAUAAAGAAUUUUUCUUUUUUUUCUUGAAUGAGAAAAAAAAUCAUUCUAACACGCAAGACCGCAACAGAAAGGUUCCCACAGUUUUGCAUUCUUCCUUUCUCCUCAACUGCUUACUCCUUACUUUGUAGUCUCCACCUCUUCUUCUUCUACUACUAAUAAUAAUACGGUUUGUUCCAGAAGGCUAACAACACGAUCUUUGGGAGAUUUAGUAUACAACACAUUCUUUUACGCUGACCUUAGUGAAUUGAGAACAGUUGAAGAGCUGUAAACGAAUUUUGCUUCAUUAAGUAGGUUGAGAUCUUGUAAUGCUCAUUGCACAUACUUGAAAGGAAGACAUAUGAUGGUCACUGCAGCAGUUGUCGGACUUAGUGCAGGAAAGAAGUUCUUGAGUUCUACCUUUUAUUAUUCUGACCUUACAGAAAAGCUUUUCAAUGUCAAUGAUAAUGGAUUAACCCACUACCAAAUUGCUUCAACAAAGAAUGUGAUAGUUGCAAAAAAGUCAUCAAAUUAUGGCCCCAGUUACCCAUCAUCCAAUAGAAAUACACAGUCUAUUAAGGCUCUUAAAGAACAUAUGGAUACUGCCUCUGCUCCCUCAACUGCAGCAACACGGUUCAAGACAUUCCAUGACAUAGAAGAGGAUAUUUCUGAUCUCGACUAUUCAGUGGAGGCACUUCUCUUGUUGCAGAAGUCAAUGCUUGAGAAACAGUGGAAUCUUUCGUUUGAGAGGACAGCCUCAAGUGAUUCAACCAAUAAAAAAAGUCAAAAGAAGAUACCUGUCACUUGCUCUGGAUUAUCUGCUCGACAACGGAGAAUAAAUACUAGGAGGAAGAAUCUGAGCCAAAGUAAAUCCAUAGUGCAAGCUAGUACAUUUAAGCAGCUAAAAUCAGCUGUCAGUCCUGAGCUGCUGCAGAAUCGUUUGAAGGGUUAUGUUAAGGGUGUAGUAAGUGAAGAGCUUCUCACGCAUGCAGAAGUUGUAUGCCUGUCAAGGAUAAUUAAAGCUGGUCUUUCCAUGGAAGAACAUAGAUCCAGGUGAGACACACCGAUUCUUCUUCGUAUGCCUUGUUAAAUUUCAAAGAGAAGUAGCUUUGCCAUGCCAAAGACAUUUUUUCUGUAUGUGGAGAGACCUCAAAAGUGAUCAUAAAAUGUAGAAUUGAAGCAACGAUACCCUGAUUCAAUAAUAAAUGGAUCACAGGAGGUUUUGUUUCCUUCUUAUUGUCAUCUCAAUGUUUUUUCUUUUUGAAAUACUCCAUUCUUCUCAAAAAUCAAAGCUGCUUAUUUUGGAAAGAAAUUAAAGACAUAUGAUCUUAUUAAUUAUAAGUCAUCCAUUUACAUUGCAAAUUCCAGGCUGAAGGAGAGAUUAGGAUGUGAGCCCUCUGAUGAAGAACUCGCAACUUCCUUGAGGAUAUCUCGUGCAGAGUUACAAUCCAAAUUGAUAGCUUGUUCUUUGGCAAGAGAGAAACUAGCAAUGAGCAAUGUUCGUCUAGUUAUGUCUAUUGCUCAAAGAUAUGAUAACAUGGGCGCUGAAAUGGCUGACCUUGUUCAGGGAGGUUUGAUUGGACUAUUGCGUGGCAUUGAGAAGUUUGAUUCUUCAAAGGGGUUCAAAAUUUCAACUUAUGUUUAUUGGUGGAUACGUCAGGGUGUCUCAAGAGCAUUAGUUGAGAAUUCAAGAACCUUAAGGCUGCCUAAUCAUUUACAUGAAAGGUUAGGCUUAAUACGAAAUGCAAAAAUCAGACUGGCAGAGAAAGGAGUAACUCCUUCAAUUGAUGUACGUUUUUUUUUUUUUUUUGAAUCAAAGAAAUUUUGUUUCUAUUUUAAUUCCUUCUGUGCUAGCAUAUCAGUUUAAUUCGCCAUUCAACUAGUCUCAAUGUACAGAACAUUAAUAUGUCUUAUUUUGCUGUUAUUUUCAGAGGAUUGCAAAGUCCCUGAAAAUGUCCCAGAAAAAAGUUAGGAAUGCAACAGAGGUAUUAAAUAUUGAAGACACUUCCUGCACAUUAUCCUCUUAUUCUCCCUAUGCAACUCCUUACCACACAAUUUCAUUAUGUGUAGGCAAUUAGCAAGGUCUUUUCACUUGAUAGGGAAGCAUUCCCCUCUUUGAAUGGUCUCCCAGGAGAGACUCACCAUAGUGUAAGCGAAGAUCAACUUGGAUUCUGCAAAUUCAUCUCAGAAUAUUAUUUUUCACCCUUUUAGUUAUUUGUGUCUAUUUUGCUCGGGAUUGAGUUCUCUUUCUUUCUUAUUUCUUUCUUUCUUUUUUUCCUUCUAAAGUACGUUGCAGAUAAUUGCCUUGAGAACAACCCAUGGCAUGGAGUAGAUGAAUGGGCACUCAAGGAAGAAGUAAACAAGCUUAUCAAUGUGACUCUUCAAGAACGAGAAAGGGAGAUUAUAAGACUUUACUAUGGUUUGGAUAAUGAAUCCCUUACAUGGGAGGACAUUAGUAAGCGGUGAGUAGAAAUAAAGAAUUCCCUACUUCUCAGAAAAUUGGCUGCACUGACUCUUUAGAAGCACCUUGAUAGGUAGAGAAUGGCACAUUCUUCAGUUACACAAAUCAGAAGCACCCUUUCGCUUUUAUGCAUCUGAGAGUCUAAGACGUUGUAUCCAUUGGCAAACUCUUAGCUCUUUACUUAGAAAGCUAUUUGGUUUUUUUGUGCAUGAUUUCAGUUUCUUUUGGAACAGUGUAUGAACUGACUGACAGGGUCUGUUUAUAUCCUAAAAAUUGAAUCAUGGUUAUCUGUAGUGAUAGCAUCUGUGCUUUAGGGAAUUACAUAACGGGAAGGAACUUAUUAUUCCUUUAAUGUAUGAGGAAUUACAUGUUGUUCCUUCCUUUUUUUUUGAAAAAAAAAAUAUAUGUACCAUGUGAAUUUAACAGUGGCACUGCAACAUCUCUUCAGGAUAGGUUUGUCCAGAGAGAGAAUUCGACAAGUCGGGCUUGUUGCACUAGAGAAAUUAAAACAUGCUGCAAGGAAGAAGAAGCUAGAGGCCAUGCUAUUGAAACAUUGAAUUGGUGCAUGUUUCCUUAAAACUCCAGUAUACGAGACUGUAAAUAUGCAGAAAGGAAAGCUUUAUCUUCAAUUUCCUUUUUCGGAGUAGAAACAACUAUAGGAGAUCAUGUUUGCAAGGGCCCAUCACCCCAAAACUUGCUGUAGAGUUGAGCAUCCUGAUUUAAGAGCUAGCUGGAGAAAAAAAUUUUCUUGUAUUUAUCAUAUAAUUUGAGGGAAAACCUGUGGAUCUGAAAUCAAAAUCAUUCUACUGUGUAUGAUGAUGGCAAUGAUCAACUGUUUAGCUUUAGUCAUUUUUGGAUGGAAAUAAUUUGAGCAUUUUUACAUCCUAUCUAAUUGAAAUCAAUGUUCAUAUCAAAUAAAAGAUAGAAGGAAAUUAGACUGUUUUGUAUUCAUGUUUUCUCAGUAUAUGAAUG